UACGUAGGGGGCGAGCGUUGUCCGGAUUUACUGGGCGUAAAACGCUUGUAGGCGGCCACGCCAAGUCGGACGUGAAAUCUCCCGGCUUAACUGGGAGGGUCGUUCGAUACUGGCGGGCUCGAGGCAGGUAGGGGGAAGCGGAAUUCCCGGUGUAGUGGUGGAAUGCGUAGAUAUCGGUGGGAACGCCAGUGGCGAAAGCGGCAGACUUGACCCUUCCUGACGCUGCAGCGCGAAAGCUAGGGGAGCAAACGGG
Molecule: ribosomal RNA, 253 nt
Filed under: uncultured bacterium
Lineage: Bacteria
Description: partial 16S ribosomal RNA
Rfam family: Bacterial small subunit ribosomal RNA
Source: RNAcentral